This 1101-nucleotide long non-coding RNA is filed under the name Elaeis guineensis (African oil palm). RNAcentral's name for it is "long non-coding RNA (EGUI_LNC000395)". Lineage: Eukaryota; Viridiplantae; Streptophyta; Magnoliopsida; Arecales; Arecaceae. The record is from RNAcentral.
UAUAUGACUUUAUUUAACAAGAUAGUUAGUGGAAUUGUAAGGAUAUUGCAUUGUCAUUAACUGACUGAUUUGUUUUAUUAUUGCAUAACUAGAGAGCUCCAUGUGGUUUGUGCAUGCAUAACGAAGGAAAGCAGCAAUGACCUCCAAUAAAGUGAACAUGUAUAAAGUACCUGCAUGGGACUUCUUAAGAGAUCUUUUAUUCAUAUUUCAGCAAUUUUUUGCUGUUGAUUUGCAUAAAUGAUUCACUGUAAUUUGUCUCAGCUCCAUAUAAACAUGUGAGAAAGCUUUCUGGCAAUGAUCUGGUUAUCUUAUUAAAAGAUUCAGGACAUGAAAUGCAACCCCCAUUAACACCGAUUUUGUGUCUGAAGAGUUUUUACUUGGCACAUGUGGUGCAGUGGAAUAACAUACUUCCUUUGAGGGUUAUUCAGUUGUUGCAGGUUUUUCAAUGGUAAACAUUGCGAUACGUCGAACAACAUAGAUCCAGUUGGCAGAUUUUCUGAUGACAUGUCUAUUUUAGCAAGGUGUAGUAUUGCUCAUAGUUUAUCACCUAACAAUUGUUGAUUUGCAUUAUGUAUUUAUUUAAUGCACAUAACUUGUGGUCAUUCAGAACAAGAAAAUCUAUAGAAGAAUGCUGUCUGAUUGUAAAUAGGAUCUUGGGAUCUGCUCAUGUUUAGCAAACUAAAACUCCCGCAGUUUUGCCUCAUGUCUUAACCUUUUCCUCCUCUCUAUCAUUUUAUUAUGGUAAUAUAAAGCCUAUGAAUUAGUAUGGAAUCAGUGGACGUUUAUAUUUGGAACAGACUUCAAAUAACAUUAAGGGUCUAAGCAUUCAGAUAUUUUUUUACCUUUUUUCAAACAUGAACUACAAUGGGUUUGCCAGUAUUUAGCAUCUCUUCUGAGCAUACACUGAAGGUGGGAAACAGAGCAACCAUAAAAAGUUGGCUUAGCAGUAUCAAAAAGAAUUCAUGCUGAAUUUAUGAUCAAAGGAGCUUUAUUGAUCUUCAUCAAUUAAAAUAAUAACAGUUACAGGUACACAACCCGAGAAAGAGAAACAGAAAGAAAGAGUUCCUUCUAUUUCUGCUACAUUAGCCAGAAAAUAAAAUC